This 468-nucleotide ribosomal RNA is filed under the name uncultured bacterium. RNAcentral's name for it is "partial 16S ribosomal RNA". It matches the Rfam family "Bacterial small subunit ribosomal RNA", at positions 28 to 507 of the family's 1533-position model. The record is from RNAcentral.
GACGAACGCUGGCGGCGUGCUUAACACAUGCAAGUCGAACGGAAAGGCCCUGCUUUUGUGGGGUGCUCGAGUGGCGAACGGGUGAGUAACACGUGAGUAACCUGCCCUUGACUUUGGGAUAACUUCAGGAAACUGGGGCUAAUACCGGAUAGGAGCUCCUGCUGCAUGGUGGGGGUUGGAAAGUUUCGGCGGUUGGGGAUGGACGCGCGGCUUAUCAGCUUGUUGGUGGGGUAGUGGCUUACCAAGGCUUUGACGGGUAGCCGGCCUGAGAGGGUGACCGGCCACAUGGGGACUGAGAUACGGACCAGACUCCUACGGGAGGCAGCAGUGAGGAAUAUUGCACAGUGGGCGGAAGCCUGAUGCAGCAACGCCGCGUGCGGGAUGACGGCCUUCGGGUUGUAAACCGCUUUCGCCUGUGACGAAGCGUGAGUGACGGUAAUGGGUAAAGAAGCACCGGCUAACUACGUG